RNAcentral lists this unclassified non-coding RNA (382 nucleotides) under Hevea brasiliensis (rubber tree). The record is from RNAcentral. Lineage: Eukaryota; Viridiplantae; Streptophyta; Magnoliopsida; Malpighiales; Euphorbiaceae.
CAAGAACUGAUACCAUGUUUCCAACUUCUGAGAAACGAUACAUACCUGCUACAGCUCACAGGAAUGACCAUAUGGGUUCAACAUCUCAAAGGCAUGAUAUUACUUCACAUCCAACUUCUGAGAGGAUGUAUGUUACCAGACCAUCACAAAGGACCGACAUGGUUCCAGCUUCCCAACAGGCUGAUGCUAUACCACCGCCAUCAGAGACUAUGUAUAUGCCUAUGCCUACAAUUGUUCAGAGAAAUAACGGAGCACCACCAACAUCAGAGAGGCUAUAUAUGCCCCUAACGUCCCAAAGGUUGUAUGCUGAAAACUCAAUGAUCUCAAUUGAUGAUUUUCCCAGCCAUGGAAGCUCCCUGGCUGGGAAAAUCAUCAAUUGAGA